Molecule: long non-coding RNA, 1581 nt
Filed under: Vitis vinifera (wine grape)
Lineage: Eukaryota; Viridiplantae; Streptophyta; Magnoliopsida; Vitales; Vitaceae
Description: long non-coding RNA (VVIN_LNC007983)
Source: RNAcentral
UUCAUGGAUCAUACUACAGUGAACCAGAUCAGACAACUAAACAGUCUCAGAACAACCAAAACAAUGGAACUAUGACGGAGGAUGUUGGAUUCAUUAGCUUAAUGAACAUGCAUUACCAGAAAUAUGUUUAUGCUGCCACCAAUAUUUACCCAAAUACUCUGGUCUUCAAUUUAGAAAUGAAAAGCAUGGAUUCAAAGUCGUUCAUCCUUAUGUGAUAACCAUGUUCAACAAUGCAGUCCUAUGUUUUUUUCUUUUUCUUUUCCCUUUACUAUACAUAAAAUUUUAUUCCUGCCUGUCUGCUUAAUUAUCACAUUGAUCACACAAAGAAACUCAAAAGUGUUAUUUGCAACAAUUAUCAGUUGCCAAUUUGUUUACGAUAUCAUAUCCAGAAAUGUUUCCCUCAGAACUUCCGAUUCCCACUUCAGCAUGAUGCUUAUAAACCAAAUGGAAUUGUUUCCCAGUUCCACCACACCUAAUCAAAGCCUCAAGAAAUCUCACUCUCCUUUUUGUCCACUACAGACCCACAAGUAAAUGCGGCACUAGCAUCAAGUUGGCAAGAUCUGCCGGAUAUAGUAUAGGACAUGAGAUUAAUGGGGCAACAAAAACCCCACAGCAUGGUUUAUCAUCAAUUCACCCAGUACUAGUAACUGAUUCAUAUCAGCUCCACUGGAACCCACUUGAGAUCCUGAAUGUCCAUUCUCCCAAUUUUCUCAAAGUCAUCAUAAGCUAUUGAAGAUGACCAAGUCCAUGAAACAAAAACACGGAAACGCUCACAAAGAACGAAUAAUCAGAAAUCACAUAAUGAUUAAUAAUAUGAAAGCCAAAUCAAAUUCAAACACUCAUCAACAAGAACAAAAAAAUUCAUCAAAGGAAACGAUAUAUGCAAAAAUAAUGAAAUAAAACCUCGCUAAAGCGGGCAGCUUGGGCUUUUUUGAUCCGGGCAGGUCAUCUUGAUCCUCCACGCUCUGUUCAUAGCCCCUUUUCUCCACCCUCCUGCUCCUUGAACCUUCCAUCUUUGCAAAUUUUACCAACCCCACUAGCACUUUCAGUCCUGUUUCCAAAUUCAGAAACCCACUACUGGUCUACCGAUCCAAAUAUAUCCUUGCAAGUUUCGUCGAAGAAUACAUCAACUAAAGCACGAAGACUUCGGAAUUCUACCUCAGAUUUUGAUAACAGAAGACUAAUAAAAAAAAGCAAGACACAAACAAAAUAAACUGUUUGAAGGAGUCUUUUCUCAAGUGAGAAAGCAAAGGAAAAAGGAAAGAAAAAUCUGAUGGGUGGGAUCUGAAUGUAUUGUUUUUUGGGUUUGUGAUAUUAAAAUAAUGUAAUAAUUCAAAGACCACAGCUGGAUUGAGCGAAAUAGAGAGCGAGUGCAUGAACAUUGAAACCGCGUUUUGUGGGUCAUCUUGGGUGUGCAGAUUGUCUUUGACUAAUUUGAUAAAGUCAACGGGGUCAGUUUGUUCGCAAUUGACCCCACUUGGAUACCUUAAUUGGAACGCUGGUUUACAACCGACAACUUGUUUUCUUCCUGUUUGGAUGGUGGGAAAAUUGAAGUGCACCACAUUCACUUUGCGAUUUAAG